AGCCCAUUAGUCUAAUGGUAGGACAAGGGAUUCCGGCUCUCUAGGUCGGGGUUCGAUUCCCCGGUGGGUUG
Ichthyophthirius multifiliis is the source of this 71-nucleotide transfer RNA. It matches the Rfam family "tRNA". From Rfam's summary of the family: Transfer RNA (tRNA) molecules are approximately 80 nucleotides in length. The record is from Rfam. Lineage: Eukaryota; Ciliophora; Oligohymenophorea; Hymenostomatida.